AUUAAACGCUGGCGGCAUGCCUUACACAUGCAAGUCGAACGGCAGCACGGGGGCAACCCUGGUGGCGAGUGGCGGACGGGUGAGUAAUACAUCGGAACGUACCCUGGAGUGGGGGAUAACGUAGCGAAAGUUACGCUAAUACCGCAUAUUCUGUGAGCAGGAAAGCAGGGGAUCGCAAGACCUUGCGCUCUGGGAGCGGCCGAUGUCGGAUUAGCUAGUUGGUGGGGUAAAGGCCUACCAAGGCGACGAUCCGUAGCGGGUCUGAGAGGAUGAUCCGCCACACUGGGACUGAGACACGGUCCAGACUCCUACGGGAGGCAGCAGUGGGGAAUUUUGGACAAUGGGGGCAACCCUGAUCCAGCCAUUCCGCGUGAGUGAAGAAGGCCUUCGGUUGUUAAAGGACUCUUUCUAGCAGGAACG
This 420-nucleotide ribosomal RNA is filed under the name uncultured bacterium. Its description in RNAcentral is "bacterial SSU rRNA". It matches the Rfam family "Bacterial small subunit ribosomal RNA", at positions 30 to 448 of the family's 1533-position model. The record is from RNAcentral.